Molecule: ribosomal RNA, 548 nt
Filed under: uncultured bacterium
Lineage: Bacteria
Description: bacterial SSU rRNA
Rfam family: Bacterial small subunit ribosomal RNA
Source: RNAcentral
GAGAGGAAGGUCCCCCACAUUGGUACUGAGACACGGACCAAACUCCUACGGAGGGCAGCAGUGAGGAAUAUUGGUCAAUGGGCGUAAGCCUGAACCAGCCAAGUCGCGUGAGGGAUGAAGGUUCUAUGGAUCGUAAACCUCUUUUAUAAGGGAAUAAAGUGUGGGACGUGUCCUAUUUUGUAUGUACCUUAUGAAUAAGGAUCGGCUAACUCCGUGCCAGCAGCCGCGGUAAUACGGAGGAUCCGAGCGUUAUCCGGAUUUAUUGGGUUUAAAGGGUGCGUAGGCGGCCUUUUAAGUCAGCGGUGAAAGUCUGUGGCUCAACCAUAGAAUUGCCGUUGAAACUGGGGGGCUUGAGUAUGUUUGAGGCAGGCGGAAUGCGUGGUGUAGCGGUGAAAUGCUUAGAUAUCACGCAGAACCCCGAUUGCGAAGGCAGCCUGCCAAGCCAUGACUGACGCUGAUGCACGAAAGCGUGGGGAUCAAACAGGAUUAGAUACCCUGGUAGUCCACGCAGUAAACGAUGAUCACUAGCUGUUUGCGAUACAGUGUAA